This is an RNA transcript of Gopherus evgoodei (Goodes thornscrub tortoise), 5557 nucleotides long. It is a transcript of the gene named Sad1 and UNC84 domain containing 1, with no coding region annotated. NCBI's taxonomy places the organism in Eukaryota, Metazoa, Chordata, Testudines, Testudinidae. The record is from RefSeq and is a predicted model, not a curated record. The transcript has 20 exons.
UUUGUUGAGACUGGGAAGCCAUUUUGGGAUUCUGCCGUGUGGAAUAGAAAAUAAUGUGCUGUCAACUUGCAAACUUGCCUUGAAUUAUUUUGUCUGGGAUUGCUGGACCUUGGAACAGAAUGCUGAAGCAUAUACUCAUUCUAAAUAUGUGAAACGGAUGACUCAGGAUUUUGGAUAUAUAGUAUGAUUUGAAACAAUCACCAUGGAUUUUUCACGUCUACACAUGUACACCCCACCCCAAUGUGUGCCAGAGAACACUGGCUAUACAUAUGCACUCAGUUCAAGUUAUUCUUCAGCUGCUCUGGAUUUUGAGACUGAACACAAAUUGGAUCCAGUGUUCGAUUCUCCAAGAAUGUCAAGACGUAGUUUACGCUUGGUCACUGCAGGAUAUAAUGCAACAGAUGAUGCCCAAAAUGACAACAUUCAUAGCAAUUCCUAUAUUGGAAACAUGUCUUUGUCAGAUCAAUCAGCCAGAACAGCAAAACAGCGCAAAAAUAUGAGCAAGCAGUCUGUCACUGUGAAAAAUACUCCAAGAAAAAAUGUAUCCAGCUCUUCUAUUUUUAGCCAAAGUAGUUUCAAUAGCCAUGCCAGUGAUACAUCUGUAGUAUCUACUGUAUUGGAUGAAUCUUUGAUUCAGGAGCAAACAGAAGUUGACCAUUUUUGGGGGCUUGAUGAUGAUGAAUGCGAUCUUAAAGGUAGGGACACAACAGUGAUUCAGGGAAAUGGUGAUAUAGCAACAGCUGAAACACAGACUACCAUGAUCAAUGGCUAUACUUGCAGUGACUGCAGUAUGCUUUCUGAACGGAAAGAGGUCCUCACAGCGUACUCUGCUUCUCACCUGCCAUCUUCAAGAAUUUACUCUAGGGAUAGAAGCCAAAAAUAUAAGUCUAGAAACACCCCUUUCUACAUGAAUAAGAUUCUACGACUGAUCAAAUAUACUGCAACAUCUUUUGCAUCACUGUUAGUGCAACUAUUUCAAAUGGUUUUGCUGAACCUGGGUUGUGAAUUUAAAGCUCACUCGAAUUACUGUGGAAGUAUGAAUGUAAAAGACUUUGUCAAAGAGGAUGGCCAUCUUGGUAUAAAUGGGGAAUCAUUGUGUGAUGACUGUAAGGGGAAGAAACAUCUUGAAACAUACACAACAGUCCACAUGCAAUCCUCAAGGUCUAAAAGGGUAGCAAGGACCAUUUGGCACACCUUUUCUUACGCAGGUUACUUUGUGCUACAAGUGUUGCGAACAGUGGGAGCAACAGGAUGGUUUAUGUCUCAGAAGACGUUAUCACUACUUUGGCUGGCCAUUGUUUCUCCAGGGAAGGCAGCUUCUGGGAUAUUCUGGUGGCUUGGAACUGGAUGGUAUCAACUUGUUACUGUGAUUUCUUUGUUCAAUGUGUUUCUUCUUACAAGAUGCCUUCCAAAGAUUUACAAGUUGUUACUGUUUCUCAUCCCACUGCUGCUUUUGCUAGGUAUAUGGUACUGGGGCUUUGAAGGCUUCCUUUCAUUACUGCCUGCAUUCAAUUGGACAAGCAUACGUCAAACACAAAGAAUAGAUAAGCCUGUGCAGAUUCUUAAACCACAUCCUGAUUCUUCUCGCUAUGUCCAGCCUCCAGAGGGUACCAUACAGUUAUUUGAUUCUAGUCGUAUGAGUGAACUGGAAAAGCAAAUGGCCCUCAUGUCUGACAGAUGUCAUCACAAUGAUGAAGAAUAUGGCAAAGUGAUGCUACAGCUUGAGAAACUUCAGGAUCAGGUUGCCCAGAUGAACGACAAAAGUGAGAUGUUGAUACUAAUAAAAAAUGUAAUGGGCCAACAUUUUAAGGAAAUGCAAUCUGAGGAAAUGGCACAUUCAACGACUGAUCUUCUGGCUUUACACCGUGAACAUGAAUUGCGCAUUUUGACCCUGGAAGACCUUAUUGGAAAACUUUCUGCAAAAUCUGAGGACAUCCAGAAGGAACUUGAGCUAACCCAAACAAGAACAGUGAGUGGAAGUGAUGAGCAAAUCCAGCACCUUUUAUCCAAGGUUAAACAACUAGAACUAGAGUUGGCUCUCAUGAAGGCAGAACUGUUAACUCCACAAGACUUGAAGACCUGCUAUGAGAAAGUAGAUACAAUUCAUGAAAAAGUAGAUGCCCAGGUCAAAGAAUCUGUCAAACUUAUGUUUUUUGGUGACCAACAAGACUUUUCUGAAUCACUACUCCAAAGGCUAACAUCCAAAUUUGUGAGCAAGAGCGACCUGCAGGUUUUGUUAAGAGAUCUAGAGCUUCAAAUCCUCAAGAAUAUUACUCUCCAUAUGUCUAUUACACACCAAAAGCCAACCUCUGAAGUAAUAACAAAUGCAGUAAAUAAUGCAGUGAUUUCUGGCAUCACAGAAGCGAGUUCCCACCAGCACCCAGCAGACCACCAUAGAUACCUCGGAGGAGCCUGAGACAGAGACCUAGUCUGAACAAUGAGGAGGAGUCGGGAGACAUGGCAAGGUGGAGGUCCAGCUAUGUCAUGAGACAGGAUCUGUUUGAGACUCCACUUCAGUCUGGCUAGUCCCAUCAGCCAAGCACCGAUGAACCUGGUGAAGGGAAAGGAACCUUGUCUGUUGCCAUUGUGGUCUCCACCACACCACUGGAACCCUGAGGAGAAGAAGGAAGAGGGCUAGUGAGAUCCUGCAAGCCACUCAUGAAUCAGACUGCAAACAAAAGGCCUGUGUGGCCAACGUGGCAGACAGCAUGGAGAUGGACAGAGAAGACAGGAGAAAAUGGAGAAAGAUUCAGGAAUCCCUGCAGGAAAAGGAGAGAGCUUCUCAGGCAGCGCAAACAAAUGGUGCAGACUGGUUGACCUACAAGUCCAGUAAUCAUCAACUCCUCACCCUUUGCAGUCCCUGGAGAACUCCAUGGUGGCAGCUUCCCAUGCGCCCCAAUAUUCCACCUGGCUUCCUGGGCCCUAUCCCUACUGCUCCAUGCUGGUGGAUAGUAAGGAAAACUACAGCUUCACAUAACUGUCCUGUGAGAGCCACAGUUGCUUUAUGUGCAGCCAGAAUAGACUGCACCUGUGCACUGAAAUGGACAGAAAUGUUUGCUGCCUUUCUAAUUUUAAAAUUCUGUUUUCUUAAUAUAUGUAAGAAGUUUGUAUUGUAUUGGUCCUUUGUUAUAUGCACAUUGGUUGUUUUGCACUGUCACUCAAUACAUUUCUCUCUAUAUAUACAUUUUAAAAAAUAAAUUCAGUUCACCAUUCCCCCUGCAGAAUGCAUAGUGGUAUUCAGCAACAAAGAGUCCUGGGCACCAUAAAGACUAGCAGAUGUAUUGGAGCAUAAGCUUUCGUAGGUGAAUACCCACUUCGUCAGACACAUGGUACUCAAGUACUCUGUACUUAUACGUUUAUGGCACCACAGAACUCAUAUGUUCAACAAAACACUUAGUCAUAUGUGUAAAUAUACAGCAAGCCGCACGUAAUUCAUAGGUUCACUAAAAGACGGUGUAAUAUUUAUAAAUGUACCCCUAGCACUACACAAUUCCUAAGUGGCCCUACUGUUUUGGGGGCUCAGCACAAUCCAACACAGUGCAUUAAUGUGGCUGACCAUUAAAGUGCUCUUUCAAAGCCUUCUACAACCACAUAGUUCCACAUUAAGUCUUGCUGUUUAGACUCAGCAGACAGCCACUCCACCUCCACUCUGGCAGCAACUUUUCCCCUUUGCCUCAGAGAUAUUUUAUACGAGGCACAGCAAGGAGCUAUAACCAUUGGUGGGUGGUUUUUGCUGAAAUUUAGUAUUGGAAGUAAACACACCUAUGUUCCUUCAAUCUACCAAAAGCACAUUCAAGUGUCCUUCUCUAAGUACUAAGCUGGUAGUUAAAUCUUUCUUCUGUGUUGUCAAGGUGGCUCUUCGUGAACCAUGAGAACAAGGGGUAGGCAGGGUCCUCCAGUAUCGCUAUUGGCAUGUCAGUAUUUCCAAUGGUGAUUUGCUGGUUGGGAAAGAAUAUCUGUUUUCUGCUUUCUGAACAGUCUUAUUUUCUUAAAGAUGUGAGUGUCAUACAUGUUCCCUGAAAAACCCCCAUUGAUACCAGUGGAGCAUCCAUCAACACAUGCAUAGCCAUAGAAAAGGCUUCUUUUUCUAUGGAUGCACUCUGUGUGGCAAGGUGGUCUGGUCCCAAAAUGAGGAUAUGCAUACCAACUAUCGCCCCACUGCAGUUUUGGGAACCCUACUGCUUCAUAUCCAUCCACUGUGCCCUGUACAUUGCUGAGAGUCAGUAUUACAUAGCUGGACACUAUUAAUGGCCCCCAGUGUGGAUUUUCCAUCUCCAAAAUGAUUUCCCAUUGACCAGUAGUAAUCCAGCAUAGAAAGCUUCCAAGUGUGAUUUGCUAUUCACUCCUCAAUUGUCAAUGCAGCUCUUAUUCUGGUGUCCCUGCAUUGGAGGGCUAGGGCAGGGUUGGCGCACAGAUCCACAUAUGUGACCUUUUACAUUUGAAGGUUCUGCAGCUACUGCAUCUCGUCCUAAACCUGCAUUGCAAUGCGAUCUCACCAGUCAGUGCUCGUUUCUCAGGCCCAGAAGGGGCGCUCCACUUUCUGCGGCUGCUCCGUGAACACCACCAACAGCCUUGAAUUGAUUUUCACUAUGAAGAAAUCAUCAUGUCCUCAAGUAUUGCAGUUCUUUCUCCGAGUCUGCAGAUACCGGAAGAUCUUGCAUCCUGUAUUUGCAACAUCCAUAAUGACAGUGAAGAGCUUUGUGGGCUCCAUGCUUUUGCAGAUGUGGAAAAGGGCUGUGUGUGUUUGUGGAAUUCUUAAAAAAAACAUGAAGAUUACGGAUAUAGAUGGCAUUAUGGGAUGGAGAAAGUUGCAUGCAGGAACUUGACCUCUCGCUCCCAGAGGUCCCUGCAUCAUUCAUUUCUACUCCACAACGUGAAAAUUUCCCCAAAAGACUUUAGUCAUGUGGCAGUGUGUGUGGCACACUGGGAUGCCAACCAUUGGUGCACUGCACUCUGCUGUGAUGCAAGCACUCCUGAGUACAUGCAGCGCAGACACAAGCAGCCAGGUAUGCAUGAGCAGUGUACUGACAUUGGCAGCUGUAUGCUGAUGUUAUUUGUAUCAACCAGAAUUUGUAGUGUAGACGUGGCCUUAUGCUUCAGUCAGCAGUUUCUUCUGGUGGACUGUUAAUUUGGUAGUUGCAAUAGACUGUCUAGUCUUGUUACUUAGAAACACUAUUUUUCCUAUCCUAAAACAAGUAGCCACAUUGGAUGCAAUAAAGAAAAGUAAAUUCCAUUACCCUUUAUGAUCUGUAAUGCCUGCCAAACUAUGCUAUCUUGGGAGCUGAGAGAGAUCCAAAGUAUAAAGAAAAAUAAAAUAUAUAACCUAAAUGGAGAGAAGACUGAGACUUACAAAAACGCCAUUCAGAGUAACCUAGUGUCAAAUCGUCGUCUGACUACCACUCAUGAAAAAUUGGCAAAUGUAUCAUAAAGAUACUGGUUCCAAAGAUUCUGUGAUAUAGUACAAUUUUAUUUAAAAUGUUUAUGCAAUCUUAGUUAAUAAAGACUGUUGAAUGCAUGUAUAUCUAAUACCAAACCUGUUUUCUUUUUCCAUACUGUU